UACAGAGGGUGCGAGCGUUAAUCGGAAUUACUGGGCGUAAAGCGUGCGUAGACGGUUAUUUAAGUCGGGUGUGAAAGCCCCGGGCUCAACCUGGGAAUUGCAUUCGAGACUGAAUAGCUAGGGUACGGUAGAGGGAAGUGGAAUUUCCGGUGUAGCGGUGAAAUGCGUAGAUAUCGGAAGGAACAUCAGUGGCGAAGGCAGGUCUCUGGGCAUUAACUGACGCUGAGGAGCGAAAGCAUGGGGAGCGAACAGG
RNAcentral lists this ribosomal RNA (253 nucleotides) under uncultured bacterium. RNAcentral describes it as "partial 16S ribosomal RNA". It matches the Rfam family "Bacterial small subunit ribosomal RNA", at positions 524 to 776 of the family's 1533-position model. The record is from RNAcentral.